AUCGCUUCUCGGCCUUUUGGCUAAGAUCAAGUGUAGUAUCAAACAUGUGCCUUUCACUUUCUAAGCGUGGGACUGAUGUCAAUCAAUAAUGAAUGUUGCUCCUGAUGCAAUUUUUGUUAAACCCGA
This 126-nucleotide small nuclear RNA is filed under the name Moschus moschiferus (Siberian musk deer). RNAcentral describes it as "U2 spliceosomal RNA (ENSMMSG00000008926.1)". It matches the Rfam family "U2 spliceosomal RNA". Rfam says of the family: U2 is a small nuclear RNA (snRNA) component of the spliceosome (involved in pre-mRNA splicing). Complementary binding between U2 snRNA (in an area lying towards the 5' end but 3' to hairpin I) and the branchpoint sequence (BPS) of the intron results the bulging out of an unpaired adenosine, on the BPS, which initiates a nucleophilic attack at the intronic 5' splice site, thus starting the first of two transesterification reactions that mediate splicing. The record is from Rfam by way of RNAcentral. Lineage: Eukaryota; Metazoa; Chordata; Mammalia; Artiodactyla; Moschidae.